UGGGGAAUAUUGCACAAUGGGGGAAACCCUGAUGCAGCGACGCCGCGUGAACGAAGAAGGUAUUCGUAUCGUAAAGUUCUGUCCUAUGGGAAGAUAAUGACAGUACCAUAGAAGAAAGCUCCGGCUAAAUACGUGCCAGCAGCCGCGGUAAUACGUAUGGAGCGAGCGUUGUCCGGAAUUAUUGGGCGUAAAGGGUACGCAGGCGGUUUAAUAAGUCGAAUGUUAAAGAUCGGGGCUCAACCCCGUAAAGCAGUGGAAACUGAUAAACUUGAGUAGUGGAGAGGAAAGUGGAAUUCCUAGUGUAGUGGUGAAAUACGUAGAUAUUAGGGGGAAUACCAGUAGCGAAGGCGACUUUCUGGACACAAACUGACGCUGAGGUACGAAAGCGUGGGGAGCAAACAGG
Molecule: ribosomal RNA, 403 nt
Filed under: bacterium
Lineage: Bacteria
Description: partial 16S ribosomal RNA
Rfam family: Bacterial small subunit ribosomal RNA
Source: RNAcentral